Molecule: small nuclear RNA, 88 nt
Filed under: Moschus moschiferus (Siberian musk deer)
Lineage: Eukaryota; Metazoa; Chordata; Mammalia; Artiodactyla; Moschidae
Description: U2 spliceosomal RNA (ENSMMSG00000004600.1)
Rfam family: U2 spliceosomal RNA
About the family: U2 is a small nuclear RNA (snRNA) component of the spliceosome (involved in pre-mRNA splicing).
Source: Rfam by way of RNAcentral
AUUGCUUCUCAGCCUUUUGGCUAAGAUCAAGUGUAGUAUUUGGACUUCUGUGCUUUUAGUUUGUUUCUUCAUUUGUGUAGUAGUUCUC